This 331-nucleotide ribosomal RNA is filed under the name uncultured bacterium. RNAcentral describes it as "bacterial SSU rRNA". It matches the Rfam family "Bacterial small subunit ribosomal RNA", at positions 32 to 339 of the family's 1533-position model. The record is from RNAcentral.
AAUCAACGCUGGCGGCGUGCCUCAGACAUGCAAGUCGAACGCGAAAGUUCCCUUCGGGGAGCAAGUAGAGUGGCGCACGGGUGAGUAACACGUAGGUAAUUUGCCUUCGGGUGGGGAAUAACAGUCGGAAACGACUGCUAAUACCGCAUAAUGCAGCGGCUCGACAUCGGGGACAGUUGUUAAAGCGGGGGAUCCUUCGGGACCUCGCGCCUGAAGAGAAGCCUGCGGCAGANAGCUAGUUGGUGAGGUAAUGGCCCACCAAGGCUACGAUCUGUAACCGGCCUGAGAGGGCGGGUCGGUCACACUGACACUGACAUACGGGUCAGACUCC